UAAGUUUGCCAGGUGGACGUUCAGUGUCCACCAUUGACAGCACAGAAUCAUUUUUUACAGAGUGAAGUCAAAUUUACUACGUAGGACCAGAAUAUUCCUUGAGACGCCACGGUAUAGGAUCCGAAGUAGAUGCCUCAAUUUCCUAUGACUCAGAUCUCUUCGCAGGCUUCCCAGCAGCUUUGGGGUGGGUCCAGGGGACCACCCUGUGCUCCAGGUGGUAACUGUGCUCUCAGCAAAGAGACGGGAAAAGUGCUGGGCAGAGUCAGGAGGCUGAGCUGGCUGGAGUGUUUUGUGGGUACCUUCUCAGAACAACAAAGCGGAGCUUUUAAAGUCUUUUCCGUGGGGUCCACAGCCUCGCCACUCCCAGCCCCGGCCGCGGCCUUGGAAUGAAUGAAGUAAGUGAACCGUUCCCCCCGCCCCAGUCAACCCCGCAGGCAGGGAUCUCCGGCCCCGGUUCCGGCGGAGGCAGCACGGUGGGGGAAGCGGGUACUUCUCUAGGCGGGGUGGGGGCCUGGGGGCCACCUACAGGGGCUUUGUCCCCAUCCCCUAACCCCAAUUCGCAGGGU
RNAcentral lists this long non-coding RNA (566 nucleotides) under Saimiri boliviensis boliviensis (Bolivian squirrel monkey). Its description in RNAcentral is "lncRNA (ENSSBOG00000036544.1)". Lineage: Eukaryota; Metazoa; Chordata; Mammalia; Primates; Cebidae. The record is from RNAcentral.